CUCCUGGGGGAGGCAGCAGUGGAGAAUUUUGGACAAUGGGCACAAGCCUGAUGCAGCAAUGCCGCGUGAGUGAAGAAGUUCUUCGGGUUGUAAUCUUCUUUUGUCAGAGAAGAAACGGCUGAGGAUAAUGCCUUCGGCUUAUGGCGGUCUCUGCAGAAUAAGCCGCGGCUAUCUGCGUCACCACAGCCGCGGUAAUGUGUAGGGCGCAAGCGUUACUCGGAAUUUCUGGGCGUAAAGCGUGCGCAGGGUGUUUUGUAAGUCUGAUGUGAAAUCCCCGGGCUCCCCCUGGGAAUUGCGUUAAGACUGGAGGCUAGAGCAUGGCAGAGGGGGGUAGAAUUCCGUGUGUAGCAGUGAAAUGCGUAGAGAUGUAGAGGAACCACGAUCGCGAAGGCAUCUCCCUGGGGUAACUCUCACGCUCAUGCGCGAAAGCGUGGAGAGCAAACAGGAAUAGAUCCCCGGGUAGCCCACGCCCUAAGCUGUGUCUUCUAGUUGUCGGGUCUUAAUGCCUUAGUAACGCAGCUAACGCGUGAAGUAGACCCGCCCG
RNAcentral lists this ribosomal RNA (544 nucleotides) under Massilia sp. RNAcentral describes it as "bacterial SSU rRNA". It matches the Rfam family "Bacterial small subunit ribosomal RNA", at positions 336 to 875 of the family's 1533-position model. Lineage: Bacteria; Pseudomonadati; Pseudomonadota; Betaproteobacteria; Burkholderiales; Oxalobacteraceae. The record is from RNAcentral.